This is a long non-coding RNA of Alnus glutinosa, 351 nucleotides long. RefSeq lists it as uncharacterized. The transcript is spliced from 2 exons. The record is from RefSeq and is a predicted model, not a curated record. Lineage: Eukaryota; Viridiplantae; Streptophyta; Magnoliopsida; Fagales; Betulaceae.
GUUAUAGAGAAAGACUUUUGGAGCAGAAACUAGCUAUGAAGAAGAAGAGGAUUAUCAGGACUAUCCCGACACAUAGAUGGUUCCUAGUUCAGUUUUUGUAAGGCUGGAUAGCCUACCUUUUGGGACUACCCUGUUGUAGUUCAUUAGCCUAACUUAAGACAGUACUUAUAAUUCUCCAGUUAUAUGUAGAUAUUUAGCUUGUAUAAUUAUCUAGCCCUGUGAGGCAUGACUGGUAUUAUUGUUUGUAUAAUUAUGCUGACUGGCUUAUUAUAUAUUUUUAGGUAUUUCAGUAGUAGCUCUGAGGUGUCAACCUAUUCUCAAUUUAUAUUACAUUUAUUCCGUUGCCAAUAA